GCAGAGUGUCUUCCCCAUGGUACCAUGGCUGGGAAUUAGAGCAUCAGGUGUCCUUUACCAGGACAGGCAGUGUGGUGAUGGGGGCGGAGGGAUAGAUGGGAGGAGGAUAGAAAGGAGAGGAAUAAGAGGGGAGGAGAAGGAGGACGGAUGAGAGAGAGGGCGAGAAAACAAAGAAAUGGGUGGUAUAAGCAUCCGAGGUUGUCUACAGUCCCAGAUACUUAGGUCAAAAAGAACUGUCCUUGGAUCUGGGGACAGAGGUGCAGUCCUGCUUCCAGCACUAAUAAGCACUGUGAUCUUGGGAGAGUCACCUAGCUGGCCUGUGCUUGAUUUUUCUUUUGUAAUCUAACAGCAUGGUAGUCGGUGGGCUCUAAGCUUCUCCCAAGCCCGUGAAUCUCUGUGAAGCUGAAGAGAAGACCUGAGGCUUUGGGAGUCCACUCCGUGAACCCAAAUUCCCCAGGGAUGUGCUUGGCAAAAUCCAAGAUGGGUUUCUGGCUGAAGCUGUGCCGUGGGCUGCCAUAUUUGUGGGCCAUCCCAUCUGCAGUCAGCCGCAGCGACCUCCUUGUUUGUCCAGCCAAGCGGAGGGACCGGAAGGCAAGUGGAGGGACCGGAAGGCAAGCGGAGGGACCGGAAGGCAAGCGGAGGGACCAGUAGCGCUGUCAUUGCUGAUGCCUCUGCUUUUGGAAUUCGGAUCAUAAACUGACUGACAGCGUUCUUCCUGUUUCUUAAGAAAGCGAUUUGUUUUACUGUCUUCUGUGUUUGCAAGCAGAAAUAAACUUAGACAAACAAAAGGACAAUUGAUUCUAGAAGAGCAACUUAGCAAGGAGUAUUUGAAGAAAAGUAUUGCCUUAGAAAUAAGGAUGUCAUGUAGUUAGUUUUACAUUAAAAGUUCUGCCAUAUUGAUUAGGAUUUAGAAAUAAUAUAUGAAGAGUUUUUCCUGAGUAGCAACAUAGGAACACCAGAACUCUAAACAUUGUAUUCAUCAUUCUUCAUCUGAUUUUUUUCCAAAAUCUUUUUGCUCCCUUUGAUUUCUCUUUUUUUUCUGCUCUUUCAAAUGCCUAGACAGAGCCAUAUUGGUUAGGCCAGUAUUUACAUAUCACAUGCCCCUGACGUGGGUUUAAUGCCCUGUAGUGUUUGAUGCUGGGGUCUGGGAAAGGAUGGAGCAGGUAGCUGCCCACCGAGACAACGAGGCCCAUGCAGUUAUCAUGGAUUUUAUUUUUCUCUUUCAUCACUUCGCCAGGGUUGCCUCUUUAAAAUAUCUACUUCCUGGGGAAUGUUUCCCUGACUCUUAUUUCAAAUCUAAUACUUUGUGUUUGAGUCUAAACACAAUUCAGGGAAUACAGCUAUUGAAACCAGAACUUCAUUUUGUUUAACUAGCCCAGAGCGCAUGAUGGCUUUGGAGCAGAGUUGAGAACAGGCACAGAGGAGCAGGAGCCAUAGGAACACCAGUUGGUGCCCCUCCCUUGUCCUUCCACUGACCUCUCUGCACCUAUCUUACCAGGGUGUGAAUGGAGCAUUCUGUAGCCAGACACAUCCAACUCACAGCAAAAACCUCCAUACAAGCUUGCCUGUGUCCUCAGACAUUCUAUCCUUUAUUUCUCCUCUUGUUCUUUGCCCCUAAGUUUGCCCACGCACCCAAGACUUUCUAAUGGGCCAUGUUGUGUGUGUGCAUGUGUGUGUACACGAACAAGCACUUUGUGGAGGCCCUGAAGGCAGCACGUAAGGUGGUAACGCAGCAGACAUCCUGCUUCAGGUUUCAGACAUUGUUAGGCCGAAGCUUUUAUUGGAGGUCAAGGCAGCAAAUAAAGUGGGCUGUGCAAUUAAAAGAGCAUUCAGCAGAGAAGGAUGGCUAACUCUCUCGGCAGGCUGAGAGCAGAGGAAGCGGUUGGCAGCUACUAGUCCUCUCGUGAUGGCUUUACGAGCAUUUUUUGCAGCCGGGGUGGUAAAUGUGAUACAAAGGCAUGGUUUUAAUAUACCCAACCAGGCGCUCUGCUUCCUGUGUGAGGCGUCUGCUUGGGGAAAGGAAGUUGCCCGGCUAUAGGCUUUUUGUGGUGGUGGUUUCCGCUAAUUUACCUUUUUUAUAGAGGGCUCAUAAUUAUUAGGGAUCCUCCAUAAUGCCCCUUUAUGGUGGUCAGGAAGGAGAUAACAAAAUGAUGAAGAGGUUUAGGAGACGUGCCCAGGGUCGCCCAGAAAACCUCUGGCUUCUGAAUCUCCAUCAGAGAUUUAAGAGGAUUUAUUUAUGCUGCUGUCUUGACCAUGUGGAUCUCCUUGACGCUGCGCUCCAUGAGAGUGGUUAAUGUCCUCUCUUGUUCACUUUGUUUUUUGUUCAGUGCCUGUGCACUGAGUAGAUUUCUGGCCUUUUGAAAAAAAAAAA
RNAcentral lists this long non-coding RNA (2371 nucleotides) under Macaca fascicularis (crab-eating macaque). RNAcentral's name for it is "lncRNA (ENSMFAG00000053417.1)". Lineage: Eukaryota; Metazoa; Chordata; Mammalia; Primates; Cercopithecidae. The record is from RNAcentral.